GGGCAGUUGGAAGUUAAUAAAAUCUUGUGGUCUUAUUCUCACCCUAAGCAGAAUACUCUAUCACUCUAGCUUUGACUGGGACCUAUCAGUAGGCGUAGGAUAAGCUAUUAAAGACGAAUACGGCAAAACCUACUCAGACUAAAAACUCACUGUUUUUUUUCUUUCUCCAUAUCGUGACUACCAUCAGAUGGGAAUCAUCUUCCUGGUCUGCACCAUCAUCAUAAUGUGACAUGGCUUUUCAAGGAGUGGCACAUGCGAAGGAUGGUUAAUGGUCAUAGUACAGUUAAGAGACAAAUGGUACUGAAGUAUUCAACGUUUUUUUUUGGACUUUUCUGGUAUAUAUAUAUAUAUAUAUUGUGUACCUUUUUUCCUAGUAAAAAUUUUGCAAAUGUAAACAUCGAAUCAUAGCCCUGAAAUUUUUGUUGCAAAAAAGAAAAAACCGCAAUCCAAGAGUUAAACGUGGAGACUGGAGCAUAAACGAAUCUCUCUCUCUCUCUCACAUUGAAUGGAUGAGUAGUGAGGUCCUGUGAACUCUAAUCAGAUGGAUAGCAUGAACCAGUUUGCUGCUGGUUUCCCUGCAUUUGUUGUAAGUUAUAACGUCUAGGUCAAAUGUGCUUUGGGCUGGGUUCGCACAACGAAUUGGUAUUAGAAAUUAUGGUUCACAACCAGAAGGCCCAGCAUCAAUGGUACAACUCAUUGGAAGGAGGAGACACAACAUUGAGAGAAAUGAGGAAGAUCUUAGCUUCAGCAUGUGCAUGCAAAAAACUUGUGCAGUGGUGCCGGUGUGACGAUGUGUUUUCUAGGGAGCGUCUGGCAUGCAAAGAGCUCACGAUGGCAUCUUCACCUGGUUUUUUCAUAGGAAGUGUCUCGUGUUUUCGUGGGCAGCAUCUGGAGAUUCUCUGACGAGAUGGGUGCAACCCAGUUGUUCGAUCAGCUUGCCCACCAUGCCUUGGAACGCUCUUGUGGAUAGAAUGGUGAGCGAGCUUCACUCACAAGGAAAGAUGAUUGAAGACAUAGCGGGGUUGCUUGAAACGGGAUCCAUUGCAUACCCAUAUCAUCACAACCAUUAAAUCUAGGCAUGCAUUAGGAUAGAGAGAUGUUGAGGAUGAUGCCCGAUUGUCGACAUUUCUUUCACCUCUGCUGCAUUGAUGCUUGGUUGAGGCUUAAUGCUUCUUGCCCUGUCGAAGCUUAUGCCAUUAUCGCAAUAUCUAGGGAAUCGAGGGAGGUCACCCUUCUUGUUCCCUGACAUGUUUUUGUUCCUCAUCAUUUCUUCAACUAUCUAUUUCUUGCAUUAGAGCUAAAUGUAGCCCUCUUUCUCAUCAUAAACCACUGAUCAACGCCAACAGAUGAGGGGUGGGUAGGUUUUAUUCCUCAUGUUCUUUAUUUUAUCUUUUUUUAUAGCUUUUUUUUUUUUUCUUAUUUUCUCUUCAAUAUCUGCUAUCACUAGCAGCAGACUCUAAAGAGGGGAAAGGAAACAAUUAUUUCUUUAAAAAUAACACGAAAAGAAAGGAAUUCAUUUUUUGUAACCUGUUUAGCCUUUCAAUUUUACUAUG
Molecule: RNA transcript, 1553 nt
Organism: Nelumbo nucifera (sacred lotus)
Lineage: Eukaryota; Viridiplantae; Streptophyta; Magnoliopsida; Proteales; Nelumbonaceae
Source: RefSeq, a predicted model, not a curated record